Long non-coding RNA from Pipistrellus kuhlii (Kuhl's pipistrelle), 170 nucleotides. RefSeq lists it as uncharacterized. The transcript is spliced from 4 exons. Lineage: Eukaryota; Metazoa; Chordata; Mammalia; Chiroptera; Vespertilionidae. The record is from RefSeq and is a predicted model, not a curated record.
AUAUAUUAAAAAAAAAAAAGGCAAAUGUGUCUGGCAAUGUGCUAUAACCACAAGAGGAGAAAAUAACUUGUUUCCUUGCUCUGCCAGAGGUCACAGUACCCUGGACUGAACUGUUAGCAUUUGUUGUAGUAGCAAGAACGGUAGAGUGUCGUUUAGGGAAAGAGUGCAGA